GAUGAACGCUGGCGGCGUGCCUAAUACAUGCAAGUCGAGCGAACAGACGAGGAGCUUGCUCCUCUGACGUUAGCGGCGGACGGGUGAGUAACACGUGGAUAACCUACCUAUAAGGCUGGGAUAACUUCGGGAAACCGGAGCUAAUACCGGAUAAUAUAUUGAACCGCAUGGUUCAAUAGUGAAAGACGGUUUUGCUGUCACUUAUAGAUGGAUCCGCGCCGCAUUAGCUAGUUGGUAAGGUAACGGCUUACCAAGGCGACGAUGCGUAGCCGACCUGAGAGGGUGAUCGGCCACACUGGAACUGAGACACGGUCCAGACUCCUACGGGAGGCAGCAGUAGGGAAUCUUCCGCAAUGGGCGAAAGCCUGACGGAGCAACGCCGCGUGAGUGAUGAAGGUCUUCGGAUCGUAAAACUCUGUUAUUAGGGAAGAACAAAUGUGUAAGUAACUAUGCACGUCUUGACGGUACCUAAUCAGAAAGCCACGGCUAACUACAUG
Molecule: ribosomal RNA, 497 nt
Filed under: uncultured bacterium
Lineage: Bacteria
Description: partial 16S ribosomal RNA
Rfam family: Bacterial small subunit ribosomal RNA
Source: RNAcentral